RNAcentral lists this ribosomal RNA (253 nucleotides) under uncultured bacterium. RNAcentral's name for it is "partial 16S ribosomal RNA". It matches the Rfam family "Bacterial small subunit ribosomal RNA", at positions 524 to 776 of the family's 1533-position model. The record is from RNAcentral.
UACGUAGGUGGCAAGCGUUGUCCGGAUUUAUUGGGUCUAAAGGGUGCGUAGGCGGCCCUGUAAGUCAGUGCUGAAAUAUCCCAGCUUAACUGGGAGGGUGGCAUUGAUACUGCGGGGCUAGAGUACAGAUGAGGUAGGCGGAAUUGACGGUGUAGCGGUGAAAUGCUUAGAUAUCGUCAAGAACACCUAUAGCGAAGGCAGCUUACUAGGCUGUAACUGAUGCUGAGGCACGAAAGUGUGGGGAUCAAACAGG